GAACCUAAGUCAUAAUUUUUAGGACCACAACCUAAUAUUUUAUUUAAAUUAUUUAGUU
RNAcentral lists this transfer RNA (58 nucleotides) under Cylisticus convexus. RNAcentral describes it as "tRNA-His". The record is from RNAcentral. Lineage: Eukaryota; Metazoa; Arthropoda; Malacostraca; Isopoda; Cylisticidae.